GGCGGCAGGCCUAACACAUGCAAGUCGAGCGGUAGAGAGAAGCUUGCUUCUCUUGAGAGCGGCGGACGGGUGAGUAAUACCUAGGAAUCUGCCUGAUAGUGGGGGAUAACGUUCGGAAACGGACGCUAAUACCGCAUACGUCCUACGGGAGAAAGCAGGGGACCUUCGGGCCUUGCGCUAUCAGAUGAGCCUAGGUCGGAUUAGCUAGUUGGUGAGGUAAUGGCUCACCAAGGCUACGAUCCGUAACUGGUCUGAGAGGAUGAUCAGUCACACUGGAACUGAGACACGGUCCAGACUCCUACGGGAGGCAGCAGUGGGGAAUAUUGGACAAUGGGCGAAAGCCUGAUCCAGCCAUGCCGCGUGUGUGAAGAAGGUCUUCGGAUUGUAAAGCACUUUAAGUUGGGAGGAAGGGCAGUUACCUAAUACGUGAUUGUCUUGACGUUACCGACAGAAUAAGCACCGGCUAACUCUGUGCCAGCAGCCGCGGUAAUACAGAGGGUGCAAGCGUUAAUCGGAAUUACUGGGCGUAAAGCGCGCGUAGGUGGUUUGUUAAGUUGAAUGUGAAAUCCCCGGGCUCAACCUGGGAACUGCAUCCAAAACUGGCAAGCUAGAGUAUGGUAGAGGGUAGUGGAAUUUCCUGUGUAGCGGUGAAAUGCGUAGAUAUAGGAAGGAACACCAGUGGCGAAGGCGACUACCUGGACUGAUACUGACACUGAGGUGCGAAAGCGUGGGGAGCAAACAGGAUUAGAUACCCUGGUAGUCC
RNAcentral lists this ribosomal RNA (763 nucleotides) under uncultured bacterium. RNAcentral's name for it is "bacterial SSU rRNA". It matches the Rfam family "Bacterial small subunit ribosomal RNA", at positions 38 to 796 of the family's 1533-position model. The record is from RNAcentral.